RNAcentral lists this ribosomal RNA (425 nucleotides) under uncultured bacterium. RNAcentral describes it as "partial 16S ribosomal RNA". It matches the Rfam family "Bacterial small subunit ribosomal RNA", at positions 354 to 796 of the family's 1533-position model. The record is from RNAcentral.
GUGGGGAAUCUUGCGCAAUGGGCGAAAGCCUGACGCAGCCAUGCCGCGUGAAUGAUGAAGGUCUUAGGAUUGUAAAAUUCUUUCACCGGGGACGAUAAUGACGGUACCCGGAGAAGAAGCCCCGGCUAACUUCGUGCCAGCAGCCGCGGUAAUACGAAGGGGGCUAGCGUUGCUCGGAAUUACUGGGCGUAAAGGGCGCGUAGGCGGACAGUUUAGUCAGAGGUGAAAGCCCAGGGCUCAACCUUGGAAUUGCCUUUGAUACUGGCUGUCUUGAGUACGGGAGAGGUGAGUGGAACUCCGAGUGUAGAGGUGAAAUUCGUAGAUAUUCGGAAGAACACCAGUGGCGAAGGCGACGAUCUGGGCCUGAACUGACGCUGAGGAGCGAAAGCUAGGGGAGCAAACAGGAUUAGAUACCCGAGUAGUCC